Molecule: small nuclear RNA, 128 nt
Organism: Hemiscyllium ocellatum (epaulette shark)
Lineage: Eukaryota; Metazoa; Chordata; Chondrichthyes; Orectolobiformes; Hemiscylliidae
Product: U4 spliceosomal RNA
Exons: 1
Source: RefSeq, a predicted model, not a curated record
GCCCCAGUGAGAUAUCGUAGCCAAUGAGGUUUAACCGAGGUGCGAUUAUUGCUUAUUGAAAACUUUUCCCAAAAAACUUGGAUGUUAAAUAUUUUUAAAAUGAAUUGCUAAAUUUUACUCGUCAGUAA